Molecule: transfer RNA, 76 nt
Filed under: Scapania tundrae
Lineage: Eukaryota; Viridiplantae; Streptophyta; Jungermanniopsida; Jungermanniales; Scapaniaceae
Description: partial tRNA-Leu
Rfam family: tRNA
About the family: Transfer RNA (tRNA) molecules are approximately 80 nucleotides in length. Their secondary structure includes four short double-helical elements and three loops (D, anti-codon, and T loops).
Source: RNAcentral
UCGAAAUCGGUAGGCGCUACGGACUUAAAAUCCGUUGGCUUUUUAGACCGUGAGGGUUCAAGUCCCUCUACCCCCA